This 282-nucleotide long non-coding RNA is filed under the name Elaeis guineensis (African oil palm). RNAcentral's name for it is "long non-coding RNA (EGUI_LNC005734)". Lineage: Eukaryota; Viridiplantae; Streptophyta; Magnoliopsida; Arecales; Arecaceae. The record is from RNAcentral.
UUGCUCAGGUAAGGAGUCUUUGGAUCCUUCCUUUUGAUCUCCUGUAGCUUGCUAUAUUUAAUAGUUUUGGUAUAUAGGUUGGAAAUUAUCUAGCCAGCUUUGUCAGCUCCACCUCUGAAGCUUCAGCAUUAGAGCUUGCAACAGUGAAGGAAGAAAUAGACUGACUGAAGUAUCUUUUGGAGUAGGAACAAUCGGCUACCGUCGAGUUGACAAAAAAAGUCAACUCUUCUAAGGAUGCCCUUCGAGAAGCCUGAGAAAUGAUCGAUCAUCGAGAUGACAAAU